This 373-nucleotide transfer-messenger RNA is filed under the name human gut metagenome. It matches the Rfam family "transfer-messenger RNA". From Rfam's summary of the family: Bacterial tmRNA, also known as 10Sa RNA or SsrA, is named for its dual tRNA and mRNA-like properties. Its role is to liberate the mRNA from a stalled ribosome. To accomplish this part of the tmRNA is used as a reading frame that ends in a translation stop signal. The record is from RNAcentral. RNAcentral also lists the same sequence under 1 other name.
GGGGAUGUUCGGUUUCGACGGGUAGCCGAACUCGUGAUAUAAGCAUGCGGAAGGGCAGCGGCUUCCUAAAAACGCGAAAAACAAAUAAAUGCUAAAAACAGCAAAACCAGAGUAAGCGCUCCCGCUUUCGGCGGCGCACUUGCUUGCGCAGCAUAACGUCUGCGCCGUCUGCGCGGGAGGUCACCGACCCGCGUCGGGCGUCAACAGGUGAAAACUUUCGCGGUAACGGGCAAAACCGCGAUCGCAUAGUGCCCUCGCUUGCGUCGGUUCGUUCGCACAUCUGCCGCAAGCUAAACUCAAAAGCGAAAUAAGCAUGUAGAAGGUCCCGGGCAACACUAUUCGGACAGGGGUUCAACUCCCCUCAUCUCCACCA